GUCUCUAUGGCUCAGUCGGUAGAGCGUUGGUCUCAUAUUCUCUCUAUAUGACCCUACCUGAAGGUCGGGAUAUCCAAAGGUCGCAAGUUCGAGCCUUGCUAGGGACA
Molecule: transfer RNA, 107 nt
Filed under: Colletotrichum higginsianum
Lineage: Eukaryota; Fungi; Ascomycota; Sordariomycetes; Glomerellales; Glomerellaceae
Also listed under: 1 other name
Description: tRNA CH063_16506
Rfam family: tRNA
About the family: Transfer RNA (tRNA) molecules are approximately 80 nucleotides in length.
Source: Rfam by way of RNAcentral